RNAcentral lists this ribosomal RNA (253 nucleotides) under uncultured bacterium. RNAcentral describes it as "partial 16S ribosomal RNA". It matches the Rfam family "Bacterial small subunit ribosomal RNA", at positions 524 to 776 of the family's 1533-position model. The record is from RNAcentral.
UACGUAGGUGGCAAGCGUUGUCCGGAAUUAUUGGGCGUAAAGCGCGCGCAGGCGGUCUUUUAAGUCUGAUGUGAAAGCCCCCGGCUCAACCGUGGAAGGGCAUUGGAAACUGGGAGACUUGAGUACAGAAGAGGAAAGCGGAAUUCCACGUGUAGCGGUGAAAUGCGUAGAGAUGUGGAGGAACACCAGUGGCGAAGGCGGCUUUCUGGUCUGUAACUGACGCUGAGGCGCGAAAGCGUGGGGAGCAAACAGG